Molecule: long non-coding RNA, 733 nt
Filed under: Malus domestica (apple)
Lineage: Eukaryota; Viridiplantae; Streptophyta; Magnoliopsida; Rosales; Rosaceae
Description: long non-coding RNA (MDOM_LNC020514)
Source: RNAcentral
AAAAAUCGGAAAAUUUAAAAAUCCAAAAAUAUUGUCUUGUUUCCCUUUUUGUUCUGAAUCAGAUUUUUUUUUGUUAGUUUCCCGACCCAAUGAUAUAAUUAGAUCAAAUUUGAAUCAUGAUUAUCAAGAACUUAGUUUAACAUGUGUUUUGUGAAAUUCCUAAUUCUUUUGUUAGUUUUGUACAUGUUUGAUCAUCUUUGAAAAACCAAUUGCACAUAGCCUUGUUGAUGUGAAACUAAAGCAUAACUUAAAGCUUCAUAUGUGAAUUUAGUGACCAUCCUAUGUGAGUUUUUGAGCCGAUUGAAAGUGUGUGCAUUUUUCAUACACUCCUAUUUUUUUAUGUGUGAUGAACUUAUGUGAUAUACAUCUCUAGAACUUGCGUAACGAUCUUUCGAAAUGUUUGUCAUUGAUUGCAUGAAUUUGAAAAUGAUAGAGGCAUUAGGUUUACCACUAUGGCCCAAAUAACCAUGUUUCCCAAAGAAAAAUGAUAUCAUUAGAUUGCCAAUUUGAGCCGUGUAUGUUGAGCCUUUUAUUUCUUAUCACCAGAUAUGUCUACCCUUAUACCUGAAACAUUUUUCCUUACCCUUUCCAAGCGAGCAAUGUGAGAUUAUCUUAUGAGAAAUGUUUGUGAAGUACUUUGAGGGUGUUGGGCAAAAGAAUAAGUGUGGGGGUAUUUCAUGUUUGUAUUGAAAAAAAAAAAAAAAAAAAAAAAAAAAAAAAAAGAGAGAAAAAA